Molecule: ribosomal RNA, 766 nt
Filed under: Clostridium sp. TDGB433
Lineage: Bacteria; Bacillati; Bacillota; Clostridia; Eubacteriales; Clostridiaceae
Description: bacterial SSU rRNA
Rfam family: Bacterial small subunit ribosomal RNA
Source: RNAcentral
GCGUGCCUAACACAUGCAAGUCGAGCGAUCUCUUCGGAGAGAGCGGCGGACGGGUGAGUAACGCGUGGGUAACCUGCCCUGUACACACGGAUAACAUACCGAAAGGUAUACUAAUACGGGAUAACAUACGAAAGUCGCAUGGCUUUUGUAUCAAAGCUCCGGCGGUACAGGAUGGACCCGCGUCUGAUUAGCUAGUUGGUAAGGUAAUGGCUUACCAAGGCAACGAUCAGUAGCCGACCUGAGAGGGUGAUCGGCCACACUGGAACUGAGACACGGUCCAGACUCCUACGGGAGGCAGCAGUGGGGAAUAUUGCACAAUGGGCGAAAGCCUGAUGCAGCAACGCCGCGUGAGCGAUGAAGGCCUUCGGGUCGUAAAGCUCUGUCCUCAAGGAAGAUAAUGACGGUACUUGAGGAGGAAGCCCCGGCUAACUACGUGCCAGCAGCCGCGGUAAUACGUAGGGGGCUAGCGUUAUCCGGAAUUACUGGGCGUAAAGGGUGCGUAGGUGGUUUUUUAAGUCAGAAGUGAAAGGCUACGGCUCAACCGUAGUAAGCUUUUGAAACUAGAGAACUUGAGUGCAGGAGAGGAGAGUAGAAUUCCUAGUGUAGCGGUGAAAUGCGUAGAUAUUAGGAGGAAUACCAGUAGCGAAGGCGGCUCUCUGGACUGUAACUGACACUGAGGCACGAAAGCGUGGGGAGCAAACAGGAUUAGAUACCCUGGUAGUCCACGCCGUAACGAUGAGUACUAGGUGUCGGGGGGUUACCCCCC